Long non-coding RNA from Ficedula albicollis (Collared flycatcher), 1699 nucleotides. The record is from Ensembl. Lineage: Eukaryota; Metazoa; Chordata; Aves; Passeriformes; Muscicapidae.
UUUUCACACUGCUCCCAUGGAACAAAUUUUUGUUGCUUUGGUUGUAUUUAAGUAACAAGAGACUUUCAAGGCAAAUUUUGGAAGGCAUUUAAGUAACUCACUCCACUUAGGAGAUCAGGCUCAGAAUAGCAUGCCACAUGAUCCAAUAACCCUGGCAGAUUGUUGCCUACUAGCUGGGUCUGAAUGGCAGGAUAAAAUGUGGCUGGAGGAGCACCAUGUUGCCUGGAGCACUAGGUUAAGCCCUACUUUGCUGCUGAAGUAUGCAUCAUCCUGGCUGAUGCUUUGAUGGAGAAAUUGUAGUUAAAUGGGAAAACAUUUGUGUUGUACUGCUGCUUGCCUAAGUGGCUGAAGGAUAUGGCUUUUGAAUUAAGCAUGCUCUGAAACAGCGUUCCAGUAUGUAAAUGUUUGGUGUGGAGAUUACUGAUGAAGAGUUUGAGCUGCUACUUGACAGAAUCCCCCUUGAUGAAGAUGGAAAUGUCAGAUACCCCCAGUUCAUGCUCAGGUUUGGUUCCUGGUAUGCAGCAUAUGCAUUUUAUUUCUCAUUUGUGAAUAGAAUUAUUUUUAAUCUAAAAGGUUUGCAUAAUAUUUCCAGACUAAAUCUCAUUUCUUAACUGUGCUCCUUUAUGACAUAUUUCUUACACAGAGUGUGCUGAUUACAUUUAAAAUUAGCUGAUGUUGUGGGUGCAUGCUGUUUGUAAUUUGUUGCUCUUUACAUGUUAUUUAUAUAUUUUAGAAGAAAGACUUCAAAGUUUUAUAUAACAAAAUCUUUGUGUUUUCUGAUGGUUGGGAAAUACGUCAGACUUCUAAAUAAAAUUAUUAAUAAUAGAAUUAUUUCCAGAAAACAGUAAUAAAUGUACUUAAUAUAUAUUUGAGAACUUGAAGGCCCUAUAUUUACAGGCCCUAUAUAUAGUCUAAAGUACAUCUGAGAUGCUGAUAUUGGUUAAUAGAAACUCUACGCACCCUCCAAGGCCUAGCUGUGAAUUAGUUUAAUUAAAAUAAAAAACAUUGGACCAGAUAAAGAUAUUCUAUUAUUUCCCAAAAAUUAAAACUCUAUCCCCAAAACUGUCAUGCCAGUAGCAGGACAGAAGCCAGUGUAAUUUCUGAGGUCAAUGAAAGACUUGUGGAAUCUGGGACUGGAGAAAGCCAUUCCACCCAUGAAAACCAAAGAAGUAAAUUCCAGCAAUGUCCCACACAGUUGUAUGUGCACAUAAGAGUUAAACUGCUCAGUUAUUUAUUUUAUUUAUCAGGUAAGGGUAAGGUCUGCAUACACACAAGGGUAGGUAGAAGUCUGAGUUCUCUGUAUAGAAACCACAUGAGAUACCUUCCUGAACUUCAAGUAGCAAACCAACUAAUAUUGCAGACCUGAUGAAAUUGCAUCUUCCUUCCCACUCCAUUCAAUCAUCUUUCACUCUUUCUUUUCCUCUGUCCUUGCCUUCCUGCUUCAGGAAGCUUUGGGGCUGAAUUCAUCUGUCUACACAUUUCCACACAAGGCAGUUGGAUAUGACACAGGAUUAACGAGAUAUAUGUGACCUUCUAAACGAUAUCUCCAAGGUAAUCUCCAAACAUGAAAUUGCAUCUUCCUUCCCACUCCAUUCAAUCAUCUUUCACUCUUUCUUUUCCUCUGUCCUUGCCUUCCUGCUUCAGGAAGCUUUGGGGCUGAAUUCAUCUGUCUACACAUUUCCACACAAGGCAGUUGGAU